CCUACGGGAGGCAGCAGUGGGGAAUUUUUGGACAAUGGGCGCAAGCCUGAUCCAGCAAUGCCGCGUGCAGGAUGAAGGCCUUCGGGUUGUAAACUGCUUUUGUACGGAACGAAACGGCCCUUUCUAAUACAAGGGGCUAAUGACGGUACCGUAAGAAUAAGCACCGGCUAACUACGUGCCAGCAGCCGCGGUAAUACGUAAGGUGCGAGCGUUAAUCGGAAUUACUGGGCGUAAAGCGAGCGCAGGCGGUUAUAUAAGACAGAUGUGAAAUCCCCGGGCUCAACCUGGGACCUGCAUUUGUGACUGUAUAGCUAGAGUACGGUAGAGGGGGAUGGAAUUCCGCGUGUAGCAGUGAAAUGCGUAGAUAUGCGGAGGAACACCGAUGGCGAAGGCAAUCCCCUGGACCUGUACUGACGCUCAUGCACGAAAGCGUGGGGAGCAAACAGGAUUAGAUACCCUGGUAGUCCACGCCCUAAACGAUGUCAACUGGUNUUGGGUCUUCACUGACUCAGUAACGAAGCUAACGCGUGAAGUUGACCGCCGNGGAGGACGGCCGGCGAGUUAGAACGUACGAAAGAAGUAGUUAGACGGCGNGAGAGCGACGACGACGACGACGGAGGAGGAG
Molecule: ribosomal RNA, 625 nt
Filed under: uncultured bacterium
Lineage: Bacteria
Description: bacterial SSU rRNA
Rfam family: Bacterial small subunit ribosomal RNA (bases 1-542)
Source: RNAcentral